AAUUUCUAAUAUGGCAGAUUAGUGCAAUGGAUUUAAAUCCCAUAUAUAAAGUUUUUCUUUUUUUAGAAA
This 69-nucleotide transfer RNA is filed under the name Anomognathus cuspidatus. RNAcentral's name for it is "tRNA-Leu". Lineage: Eukaryota; Metazoa; Arthropoda; Insecta; Coleoptera; Staphylinidae. The record is from RNAcentral.